RNAcentral lists this ribosomal RNA (301 nucleotides) under uncultured bacterium. RNAcentral describes it as "partial 16S ribosomal RNA". It matches the Rfam family "Bacterial small subunit ribosomal RNA", at positions 509 to 807 of the family's 1533-position model. The record is from RNAcentral.
CAGUCGCCGCGAUAAUACGUAGGGUGCAAGCGUUAAUCGGAAUUACUGGGCGUAAAGCGUGCGCAGGCGGUUCGGAAAGAAGGAUGUGAAAUCCCAGAGCUUAACUUUGGAACUGCAUUUUUAACUACCGGGCUAGAGUGUGUCAGAGGGGGGUGGAAUUCCACGUGUAGCAGUGAAAUGCGUAGAUAUGUGGAGGAACACCGAUGGCGAAGGCAGCCCCCUGGGAUAACACUGACGCUGAGGUGCGAAAGCGUGGGGAGCAAACAGGAUUAGAUACCCGUGUAGUCCCUGUCUCUUAUAC